CCCGGCAUCAGCUGCUGGCGCUGCAGGCACUGCAAGGGCGGCCGCUACAACCUCUGUGACGACAUGAAGUUCUUCGCCACCCCACCUUACCACGGAUCACUUGCUGACCAGGUACGUUACAGUUGUUCUGAAACGCAGUUGCAAUCUGCAAGCUGAGCUUGAUGAUUUUGACCAUUUGUUCCUGAGAUAAAUAAUAUCCUUAUCAAUGUGUUGGGUUUUGGGUAGAUUGUGCAUCCAGGUGACCUGUGCUUCAAGCUUCCAGACAACGUGAGCCUGGAGGAAGGCGCCAUGUGCGAGCCCCUGAGCGUGGGGGUGCACGCUUGCCGCCGAGCCGACGUGGGCGCCGAGAAGAGCGUGCUCAUCAUGGGAGCCGGCCCGAUCGGCCUGGUCACCAUGCUCUCCGCGCGCGCCUUUGGAGCGCCCAGGAUCGUCAUCGCCGACGUCGACGACCACCGCCUCUCCGUCGCCAAGUCCCUCGGCGCGGACGCCACCGUGAAGGUCUCCGGCAACACGGAGGACCUCGCGGGGGAGAUCGAGCGCAUCCAGGCGGCGAUGGGAGGCGACAUCGACGUGAGCCUGGACUGCGCCGGGUUCAGCAAGACGAUGUCGACCGCGCUGGAGGCGACGCGGCCGGGCGGGAGGGUGUGCCUGGUGGGGAUGGGGCACAACGAGAUGACGGUGCCGCUGACGUCGGCGGCGAUCCGGGAGGUGGACGUGGUGGGGAUCUUCCGCUACAAGGACACGUGGCCGCUGUGCCUCGAGUUCCUGCGGAGCGGCAAGAUCGACGUGAAGCCGCUCAUCACGCACAGGUUCGGCUUCUCGCAGGGGGAGGUGGAGGAGGCCUUCGAGGUCAGCGCGCGCGGCCGCGACGCCAUCAAGGUCAUGUUCAACCUCUAGACAUCCAGGCUGCUACUGUUGCUAGGGAUUCAAGCCAUGCUUGGACUGGAGCUGCGUGCGUGCAUGCCAGCGUGUCCGCGUGCGCGCGGUGUGUUGUGUGUCGUGAAACAAAAUAAAAUGACUGUGCAGACUGAUUUCUAUCGUGAAACUGGGAUGUCAAAGUUAGAAGGGAGAGAGGGAUUUGAUGGAAUAGUUGUUGUAUUGCUUGAGUCUCGCGGGCAUAUAUAUAGAAGUACAAAGAUCAAUUUGGAGUACAAGACAAGGCAGGACCAAAUCCUAGUCUAUCCUAUACUUCCUAAUAAUCUUAU
Molecule: long non-coding RNA, 1205 nt
Filed under: Triticum aestivum (bread wheat)
Lineage: Eukaryota; Viridiplantae; Streptophyta; Magnoliopsida; Poales; Poaceae
Description: long non-coding RNA (TAES_LNC016044)
Source: RNAcentral